AGCCACAUGGAGGCAGUGUAAUAGCGAGAUAGUCAACACACUGCAGAUACUUGAGCAAGAAAUUGCUAAACGCAUGGAUCUAGUAGAAGGUAUUGGGAAGCAAAAUAGAAAAGUCCCAAUUUUCCUUACACCUUCCAUAAGAAAAGGGAUUGAUCUAUUUGUAGCGACUAGAGAGGAAGUUGGCAUUUCUUUAAACAAUCCUUACGUCUUUGCAAAGGGAGGAGAAAGUUUCAUACGAGGAGCUAAUGCAUUGAAAUAUGUCAUAGAUCAAGUAGAACUAAAACAUCCACAAUACAUCAAGUUUCCAAAAAUGAGAAAAUAUUUGGCCACUGUUGU
Molecule: long non-coding RNA, 336 nt
Organism: Saccostrea echinata
Lineage: Eukaryota; Metazoa; Mollusca; Bivalvia; Ostreida; Ostreidae
Exons: 3
Source: RefSeq, a predicted model, not a curated record